Molecule: small nuclear RNA, 103 nt
Filed under: Balaenoptera musculus (blue whale)
Lineage: Eukaryota; Metazoa; Chordata; Mammalia; Artiodactyla; Balaenopteridae
Source: RNAcentral
UCACUUCAGCAGUACACAUACUAAAGUUAAUGUGAUACAAAGAAGAUUAUCAAGGUUUGUACUCAAGGAUGAUAUGCAAAUUUAUGAAAUGUUUCAUAUUUGG